This 330-nucleotide ribosomal RNA is filed under the name Triticum aestivum (bread wheat). RNAcentral describes it as "partial small subunit ribosomal RNA". The record is from RNAcentral. Lineage: Eukaryota; Viridiplantae; Streptophyta; Magnoliopsida; Poales; Poaceae.
AUGCUCGGGUGUCUGAUGAUACCCAACAGGGGGUUUCAGCCGCCAUUUCUUCAUCGCCUCACAACCGCAGAUCUACAGGAAAGUUGGAAACUGCCAUCCACAGUAAAAUUUCCUGCUCCGAGUUCAGGGAAGGUUACUUUGGAGACAGUACACAAGAAUGGGUAUGGAGACAUGCAAGCUGACUACCACAUCGACUCUGAAGAAUGCAUCAACAUAACUACUGGUUGGAAAAAAUUUGUCUCCCAGAAUGGCUUUGAGGUCGGAGAAGUGGCCAUGCCAUUUUUCUACAAAGAAGAAGACUCCCUGAAGUUCACAAUAUUUGCACUGUAG